UGGUUAGAAACGAUAUACUCGUAUUAGGUUUCGGCCCUGCUUUAGGUGGCAAUAAUCACCCUAACCAU
RNAcentral lists this transfer RNA (68 nucleotides) under Nipponacmea sp. JM-2022. RNAcentral describes it as "tRNA-Arg". The record is from RNAcentral. Lineage: Eukaryota; Metazoa; Mollusca; Gastropoda; Lottiidae.